RNAcentral lists this ribosomal RNA (91 nucleotides) under Mus spretus (western wild mouse). Lineage: Eukaryota; Metazoa; Chordata; Mammalia; Rodentia; Muridae. The record is from RNAcentral.
GUCUACGGCCAUACCACCCUGAACACGCCCGAUCUCAUCUGAUCUCUGAGCUAAGCAGGGUCGGGCCUGGUUAGUACUUGGAUGGGAGACU